This 324-nucleotide ribosomal RNA is filed under the name uncultured eukaryote. RNAcentral describes it as "partial 18S ribosomal RNA". It matches the Rfam family "Eukaryotic small subunit ribosomal RNA", at positions 1470 to 1796 of the family's 1831-position model. The record is from RNAcentral.
CCCUUAGAUGUUCUGGGCUGCACGCGCGCUACACUGAAGCUAUCAACACGUUUUCCCACCCUGAGAAGGGCGGGUAACCUUUUGAAUCAGCUUCGUGGUAGGGAUCGGGGCUUGCAAUUGUUCCCCGUGAACCAGGAAUUCCUAGUAGACGCGAGUCAUAAGCUCGCAUCGAUUAAGUCCCUGCCCUUUGUACACACCGCCCGUCGCUACUACCGAUUGAACGUUUUAGUGAGGCAUUUGGACCGACGCAUCUCAGUUUAACCGCUGGUUUGUGUUGGAAAGACUUCCAAACUUGAGCGUUUAGAGGAAGUAAAAGUCGUAACA